RNAcentral lists this ribosomal RNA (491 nucleotides) under uncultured bacterium. Its description in RNAcentral is "partial 16S ribosomal RNA". It matches the Rfam family "Bacterial small subunit ribosomal RNA", at positions 29 to 506 of the family's 1533-position model. The record is from RNAcentral.
AGUGAACGCUGGCGGUAGGCCUAACACAUGCAAGUCGAACGGCAGCACAGUAAGAGCUUGCUCUUACGGGUGGCGAGUGGCGGACGGGUGAGGAAUACAUCGGAAUCUACUUUUUCGUGGGGGAUAACGUAGGGAAACUUACGCUAAUACCGCAUACGACCUACGGGUGAAAGCAGGGGAUCUUCGGACCUUGCGCGAUUGAAUGAGCCGAUGUCGGAUUAGCUAGUUGGCGGGGUAAAGGCCCACCAAGGCGACGAUCCGUAGCUGGUCUGAGAGGAUGAUCAGCCACACGGGAACUAGGACACGGUCCAGACUCCUACGGGAGGCAGCAGUGGGGAAUAUUGGACAAGGGGCGCAAGCCGGAUCCAGCCAUACCGCGUGGGUGAAGAAGGCCUUCGGGUUGUAAAGCCCUUUUGUGGGGAAAGAAAAGCAGCAGGUUAAUACCCCGCUGUUCUGACGGUACCCAAAGAAUAAGCACCGGCCAACUUCGU